GACGAACGCUGGCGGCGUGCUUAACACAUGCAAGUCGAACGGAAAUGCCCUGCUUUUGUGGGGUGCUCGAGUGGCGAACGGGUGAGUAACACGUGAGUGACCAGCCCUUGACUUAGGGAUAACUUAAGGAAACUGGGGCUAAUAACGGAUAGGAGCUGCGGCUGCAUGGUGGGGGAUGGAAAGUUUCGGCGGUUGGGGAUGGACUCGCGGCUUAUCAGGUUGUGGGUGGGGUAGUGUCAUACCCAGGCUUUGACGGGUAGCCGGCCUGAGCUGGUGACCGGCCCCAGUGCGAUUGGACUACGGCACGGACUCCUACGCUAGGCAGAAGUGGGGUAUGGUGUACUGUGGGCUGAGGCCUGCUGCAGCAACGCCGCGUGGGGUAUGACGGCCUUCGGGUUGUAUUCCGCUUUCGCCUGUUACGAAGCGUGAGUGACGGUAAUGGGUAAAGAAGCACCGGCUAACUACGUG
RNAcentral lists this ribosomal RNA (468 nucleotides) under uncultured bacterium. Its description in RNAcentral is "partial 16S ribosomal RNA". It matches the Rfam family "Bacterial small subunit ribosomal RNA", at positions 28 to 507 of the family's 1533-position model. The record is from RNAcentral.